CUAUGCCUAGCCUUAAACUUUGACCAAGACCCCAAAGGGUCACUCCGCCUAGCUACUACGAGCGCUAGCUUAAAAGCUAAGGACUUGGCGGUAUCUCAAACCCCCUAGAGGAGCCUGUCCUAGAACCGAUAAUCCCCGUUUAACCUCACCGCUGCUUGCCAAUCCCGCCUGUAUAUCGCCGUCGACAGCUUUCCCCUCAGGGCCCAAUAGCAAGCAAGAUAGGUCACUCUCCUAACACGUCAGGUCGAGACGCAGCUAACUGCAGCGGGAAGAGAUGGGCUACACUCCCUACCCAGGGACCACGAAAGGAGUCCUGAAAUUGGGCCCCGAAGGAGGAUUUAGCAGUAAGGAGAGACUAGAGCUCCCC
This 367-nucleotide ribosomal RNA is filed under the name Cyclothone braueri (garrick). RNAcentral's name for it is "partial small subunit ribosomal RNA". It matches the Rfam family "Bacterial small subunit ribosomal RNA", at positions 790 to 1362 of the family's 1533-position model. Lineage: Eukaryota; Metazoa; Chordata; Actinopteri; Stomiiformes; Gonostomatidae. The record is from RNAcentral.